AUGGAUGAAAGCGGGGGAUCGCAAGACCUCGCGCGAUUGGAGCGGCCGAUAUCAGAUUAGGUAGUUGGUGAGGUAAAGGCUCACCAAGCCGACGAUCUGUAGCUGGUCUGAGAGGACGACCAGCCACACUGGGACUGAGACACGGCCCAGACUCCUACGGGAGGCAGCAGUGGGGAAUUUUUGGACAAUGGGCGCAAGCCUGAUCCAGCAAUGCCGCGUGCAGGAUGAAGGCCUUCGGGUUGUAAACUGCUUUUGUACGGAACGAAACGGUGAGCUCUAAUACAGUUUGCUAAUGACGGUACCGUAAGAAUAAGCACCGGCUAACUACGUG
This 331-nucleotide ribosomal RNA is filed under the name uncultured bacterium. RNAcentral describes it as "bacterial SSU rRNA". It matches the Rfam family "Bacterial small subunit ribosomal RNA", at positions 196 to 507 of the family's 1533-position model. The record is from RNAcentral.